This is an RNA transcript of Drosophila montana, 1556 nucleotides long. RefSeq lists it as uncharacterized. The transcript is spliced from 4 exons. The record is from RefSeq and is a predicted model, not a curated record. Lineage: Eukaryota; Metazoa; Arthropoda; Insecta; Diptera; Drosophilidae.
AAGCUGCGUCUUCAGUUCCAGUCGCUUGUUGUCGUUCUGACGGUCUCGUUCUGUGACCGUGCGCCGUUCCGUGCUUGCAAAGAGUGUUGGAAAAUUAUUAAAAAAAAAAAAAAAAAGAAGAGCCACAUUAAAAAAUCAGUACACAACAGAUAACAACCGCAACGGUGUUCUUUCAAUUGUGCUGCAUACCAAAAAUUCCCCAAAAAAAAAAACAUAUAACAUACAUAUAAUAAAAAAAAUCAAGCUAGUCGAAAGCUUAGCGCGUGUUUUAGCUCGUUCGAAUCGUAAAUUUAUACAAUUCAAUUGAAAUAAAAUAUAUUUGAUAAAAAUGCAGUACAUCUAUGUGAUUAGCGCGCUAAUUUUGGCAAUUGCCGUGCAGCAAGGCGCUGCCAUCAAGUGUUUUGUGUGCAACAGCCAUAAGGAUGCCAACUGUGCGCUGGACAUACCGCCAGAUAAUCUGCUGAAGGACUGCCAGGAGGAUUACUCGACGCGCGGCAAGGGCAUACCCACCUAUUGCCGCAAGAUCACACAGAUCAUUGAGUUCUCCGUGAACAGCCUGCCGCCAGAUAGCCGUGUGAUACGCACCUGCGGCUUCCAGAAUCAAACAUCGACCAAUUAUUGCUAUCAGCGCGCCGGCUUUGGCGGCCGCCAGGUGGUCUGCUCCUGUGAUACGGACAACUGCAAUGGCGCCGCAGCGCUGAGCGGCGUCUCCGGCCUGGUCCUGCUGGCCACCGUGGGAAUCCUUGUGGGCGCCUGCAACUGGUUGCAGCGUUAGGUGCCAAUCGGUUCGGAUUGGGCGACGCUUCAGUUUGUGUUUCUUUUCGUUUUCCCAACAUGUCGUACUUUGUUUUUCCCAUGAUAAUCCCUAAGUUCUGCGCCAUUUCCCCAGCCGUCUCAGCAAUUUUCAGCCCCUCAGCUGCUGCAAUCUCGGCUCAGUUCCAGCCAAUAUUUUUUUUCUCUAUAUCUCAAUGUCCUACGGCAAAAGCUUUAUAAUAAAAAAAAAAUAUUUGAAAACUCUUUGAUUGUAUAUAAAAAGAAAAGAAAAUAUAAAAUAAUAACCAUAAAAAUUGGCCAAUAAAAGCAUAUUUCAAAUAACAAGAAUUCUGAAACUAAAGUAUUAAAAAUAAAUAAAAAUUUUUAAAAAACCUACCGCAGUUAAUGAAAAUAAGUAUUCAAAGUCCCACUAUAAAAACGAUUGAUUAAAUAAAUUAUAAAAUUGUUGUAACUAAGGCUAUAAAUAUAAAUAUAUAAAGCAAACAAAUUUUAAACAAAUUAAAGAAAACCGUAGUCAAUACAUAUAAAAUAAAUGUUAACACUUUUGUCUGAGUUGCCCUUUUUUUAUUUUCAUAAGAACAUUUUCUAAAAAAGAAAAACUAACAACAAAAAAAACAAAGACAACUAAAUCAAUUGCAUAAAUUAAACGAAUUAUUAGUCCAAUUGAAAUGAAAUGAAACAAAUUGCCGCGCCCCAAAUCAAAUCCUUUAGGCUAAGCUAAACCCGCUUCAAGGACAAAACGCCUCAUGCACUCAAAGAAAAAAAAACAAAAAAGAAAGAAA